This 371-nucleotide unclassified non-coding RNA is filed under the name uncultured fungus. RNAcentral's name for it is "partial contains small subunit ribosomal RNA, internal transcribed spacer 1, and 5.8S ribosomal RNA". The stretch from base 1 to 139 matches the Rfam family "Eukaryotic small subunit ribosomal RNA", at positions 1759 to 1831 of the family's 1831-position model. The record is from RNAcentral. Lineage: Eukaryota; Fungi.
ACAAACUUGGUCAUUUAGAGGAAGUAAAAGUCGUAACAAGGUUUCCGUAGGUAAGUUGAAGCUUUCCAUCUAUCUUUCUAUGCUUGAAUAAUGUGCUGACUUUUAAACCCUUGUAGGUGAACCUGCGGAAGGAUCAUUACAGAGUGUUUUACCCCCCCAUAAAAAGGGGGGUGUAACCUCCCGUCCUUUGCUAGGUCCCCCUUUCCGGGAGGACUUUUCAAAACUUUCUGCUUCGGCGGGGUUACCCGCCGGAACAUCCUCAAAAUUCUUUGGUUUUUGACCAAAACUGUCUGUCCGAGAAGCUUUUAAGAAAAUUAUUGAAAACUUUCAACAACGGAUCUCUUGGUUCUGGCAUCGAUGAAGAACGCAGC